CAGCCGCCGCGGUAAUACGAAGGGGGCUAGCGUUGCUCGGAAUGACUGGGCGUAAAGGGCGCGUAGGCGGUUUUGACAGUCAGAUGUGAAAUUCCUGGGCUUAGCCUGGGGGCAGCAUUUGAGACGUCAAGACUAGAGUGUGAGAGAGGGUUGUGGAAUUCCCAGUGUAGAGGUGAAAUUCGUAGAUAUUGGGAAGAACACCGGUGGCGAAGGCGGUAACCUGGCUCAUUACUGACGCUGAGGCGCGAAAGCGUGGGGAGCAAACAGGAUUAGAUACCCCGGUAGUCCCUGUCUCUUAUAC
RNAcentral lists this ribosomal RNA (301 nucleotides) under uncultured bacterium. Its description in RNAcentral is "partial 16S ribosomal RNA". It matches the Rfam family "Bacterial small subunit ribosomal RNA", at positions 509 to 807 of the family's 1533-position model. The record is from RNAcentral.